This 448-nucleotide ribosomal RNA is filed under the name uncultured bacterium. RNAcentral describes it as "partial 16S ribosomal RNA". It matches the Rfam family "Bacterial small subunit ribosomal RNA", at positions 29 to 523 of the family's 1533-position model. The record is from RNAcentral.
AGCGAACGCUGGCGGCAGGCCUAACACAUGCAAGUCGAACGGACCCUUCGGGGUUAGUGGCGGACGGGUGUGUAACACGUGGGAACGUGCCUUUAGGUUCGGAAUAGCUCCUGGAAACGGGUGGUAAUGCCGAAUGUGCCCUUCGGGGGAAAGAUUUAUCGCCUUUAGAGCGGCCCGCGUCUGAUUAGCUAGUUGGUGAGGUAAUGGCUCACCAAGGCGACGAUCAGUAGCUGGUCUGAGAGGAUGACCAGCCACACUGGGACUGAGACACGGACCAGAAUCCUACGGGAGGCAGCAGUGGGGAAUCUUGCGCAAUGGGCGAAAGCCUGACGCAGCCAUGCCGCGUGAAUGAUGAAGGUCUUAGGAUUGUAAAAUUCUUCACCGGGGACGACAAUGACGGUACCCGGAGAAGAAGCCCCGGCUAACUUCGUGCCAGCAGCCGCCGUAA